Molecule: ribosomal RNA, 253 nt
Filed under: uncultured bacterium
Lineage: Bacteria
Description: partial 16S ribosomal RNA
Rfam family: Archaeal small subunit ribosomal RNA
Source: RNAcentral
UACCCGCAGCACAAGUGGUGGUCAUUAUUAUUGGGCCUAAAGCGUCCGUAGCUGGCUUGUUAGAUGCCUGGGUAAAUCGAUGCGCUCAACGUAUCGAAUUCCGGGUAGACCGGCAAGCUCGAGACCGGGAGAGGUGUAGGCUACUCGAGGGGUAGGGGUAAAAUCCUGUAAUCUUUCGGGGAGGACCAGUGGCGAAGGCGCUACACUAGAACGGCUCUGACAGUGAGGGACGAAGCCCUGGGGCGCAAACCGG